Molecule: long non-coding RNA, 217 nt
Filed under: Elaeis guineensis (African oil palm)
Lineage: Eukaryota; Viridiplantae; Streptophyta; Magnoliopsida; Arecales; Arecaceae
Description: long non-coding RNA (EGUI_LNC066979)
Source: RNAcentral
UGCAGGCCAUGCAGCCGCAGCCGUAGUAGCCGCAGGCAUCGGUGUGGCUGGAAAGAGCAUCGUCAGAGUUCCAGAAUCCGACGACCGGAUGGGCCACAUGGGCCAGCCACCCUGUCUUUCCCAGAAAAAAAAUAGAAGGUGGAGAGUUCUCCGUCCGAUCAUGAUUCAACCCCCAGAGAGUCCCUGCUUUCGCUCCACCAGAAGACCCUCGAGGCCC